Molecule: long non-coding RNA, 525 nt
Organism: Pipra filicauda (Wire-tailed manakin)
Lineage: Eukaryota; Metazoa; Chordata; Aves; Passeriformes; Pipridae
Exons: 4
Source: RefSeq, a predicted model, not a curated record
AGGCACAACAGGGAGGGCUUAAGCAGGGGCAGAGUGGGGGCGACAUGAGAAGGAAUAACAUCUAUCUGCUCAAUUCGGAAAAAAAAUGACAGAGACCACAGCCAGUGACUCAUCAAAGGGCACUAUUUUUCAAGGCUGGAGGUUCAUACAGUGACUGAUGCAAGUCUCAGCAGACCUUUUUGAGAGGGACUUAACAUGCAUGUCUGUCCUGGAACUGUCUGAAUUUCUUUGCGACAGCACUGAGUAAAAUGGGAUCCCCAUCUGCCUCCUUGUCAUCACCAAACACUGACAGCAGCCGUGCCUUCUUAUGCCUCGUCUCGCAGCAGCUCUAUUGGACAUCUUCUUGAGACAGGUAUAGACUUAUUCUCUCCAAUCUGGCAAUGGACAGACAUGGCAAGACGGUCUGACCUGGUGAAGCAUUGAGUCUGCAAGGAAAAUUAACCACUAGUGACAAUGAAGCCUCAUGAAUAUGCAUUCAAAUUUCAAAGCAUUGCCUGUGUAUAAGAUAUUUAGGAAUAUUAGACA